Molecule: ribosomal RNA, 253 nt
Filed under: uncultured bacterium
Lineage: Bacteria
Description: partial 16S ribosomal RNA
Rfam family: Bacterial small subunit ribosomal RNA
Source: RNAcentral
UACGUAGGGUCCGAGCGUUGUCCGGAAUUAUUGGGCGUAAAGGGCUCGUAGGCGGUUCGUCACGUCGGGAGUGAAAACUCGGAGCUUAACUCCGAGCCUGCUUCCGAUACGGGCAGACUAGAGGUAGGCAGGGGAGAGCGGAACUCCUGGUGUAGCGGUGGAAUGCGCAGAUAUCAGGAAGAACACCAGUGGCGAAGGCGGCUCUCUGGACAGGUACUGACGCUGAGACGCGAAAGCGUGGGUAGCAAACAGG